UGGGGAAUUUUGGACAAUGGGCGAAAGCCUGAUCCAGCAAUGCCGCGUGUGUGAAGAAGGCCUUCGGGUUGUAAAGCACUUUUGUCCGGAAAGAAAUCCUUGGCUCUAAUACAGUCGGGGGAUGACGGUACCGGAAGAAUAAGCACCGGCUAACUACGUGCCAGCAGCCGCGGUAAUACGUAGGGUGCAAGCGUUAAUCGGAAUUACUGGGCGUAAAGCGUGCGCAGGCGGUUUGCUAAGACCGAUGUGAAAUCCCCGGGCUCAACCUGGGAACUGCAUUGGUGACUGGCAGGCUAGAGUAUGGCAGAGGGGGGUAGAAUUCCACGUGUAGCAGUGAAAUGCGUAGAGAUGUGGAGGAAUACCGAUGGCGAAGGCAGCCCCCUGGGCCAAUACUGACGCUCAUGCACGAAAGCGUGGGGAGCAAACAGGGUUAGAUACCCUGGUAGUCCACGCCCUAAACGAUGUCAACUAGUUGUUGGGGAUUCAUUUCCUUAGUAACGUAGCUAACGCGUGAAGUUGACCGCCUGGGGAGUACGGUCGCAAGAUUAAAACUCAAAUGAAUUGAC
Molecule: ribosomal RNA, 566 nt
Filed under: uncultured bacterium
Lineage: Bacteria
Description: partial 16S ribosomal RNA
Rfam family: Bacterial small subunit ribosomal RNA
Source: RNAcentral